RNAcentral lists this non-coding RNA (24 nucleotides) under Arabidopsis thaliana (thale cress). Lineage: Eukaryota; Viridiplantae; Streptophyta; Magnoliopsida; Brassicales; Brassicaceae. The record is from RNAcentral.
UUAGAUGACAUGGAAGUAGCUGAA